GGGGUAGCUCAGUGGUAGAGUGCAUGUUUAGCAUGCAUGAGGGCUUGGGUUCAAUCCCCAGCACUUCCA
This 69-nucleotide transfer RNA is filed under the name Camelus bactrianus (Bactrian camel). It matches the Rfam family "tRNA". Rfam says of the family: Transfer RNA (tRNA) molecules are approximately 80 nucleotides in length. Their secondary structure includes four short double-helical elements and three loops (D, anti-codon, and T loops). Further hydrogen bonds mediate the characteristic L-shaped molecular structure. tRNAs have two regions of fundamental functional importance: the anti-codon, which is responsible for specific mRNA codon recognition, and the 3' end, to which the tRNAs corresponding amino acid is attached (by aminoacyl-tRNA synthetases). tRNAs cope with the degeneracy of the genetic code in two manners: having more than one tRNA (with a specific anti-codon) for a particular amino acid; and 'wobble' base-pairing, i.e. permitting non-standard base-pairing at the 3rd anti-codon position. RNAcentral also lists the same sequence under 2 other names. Lineage: Eukaryota; Metazoa; Chordata; Mammalia; Artiodactyla; Camelidae. The record is from Rfam by way of RNAcentral.